GAUGAACGCUGGCGGCGUGCUUAACACAUGCAAGUCGAACGGUGAAGCCAAGCUUGCUUGGUGGAUCAGUGGCGAACGGGUGAGUAACACGUGAGCAACCUGCCCCGGACUCUGGGAUAAGCGCUGGAAACGGCGUCUAAUACCGGAUAUGAACCACAGCCGCAUGGUUGGUGGUUGGAAAGAUUUUUUGGUUCGGGAUGGGCUCGCGGCCUAUCAGCUUGUUGGUGAGGUAAUGGCUCACCAAGGCGUCGACGGGUAGCCGGCCUGAGAGGGUGACCGGCCACACUGGGACUGAGACACGGCCCAGACUCCUACGGGAGGCAGCAGUGGGGAAUAUUGCACAAUGGGCGGAAGCCUGAUGCAGCAACGCCGCGUGAGGGAUGACGGCCUUCGGGUUGUAAACCUCUUUUAGCAAGGAAGAAGCGAAAGUGACGGUACUUGCAGAAAAAGCGCCGGCUAACUACGUGCCAGCAGCCGCGGUAAUACGUAGGGCGCAAGCGUUAUCCGGAAUUAUUGGGCGUAAAGAGCUCGUAGGCGGUUUGUCGCGUCUGCUGUGAAAACUGGAGGCUCAACCUCCAGCCUGCAGUGGGUACGGGCAGACUAGAGUGCGGUAGGGGAGAUUGGAAUUCCUGGUGUAGCGGUGGAAUGCGCAGAUAUCAGGAGGAACACCGAUGGCGAAGGCAGAUCUCUGGGCCGUAACUGACGCUGAGGAGCGAAAGGGUGGGGAGCAAACAGGCUUAGAUACCCUGGUAGUCCACCCCGUAAACGUUGGGAACUAGUUGUGGGGGCCAUUCCACGGUCUCCGUGACGCAGCUAACGCAUUAAGUUCCCCGCCUGGGGAGUACGGCCGCAAGGCUAAAACUCAAAGGAAUUGACGGGGACCCGCACAAGCGGCGGAGCAUGCGGAUUAAUUCGAUGCAACGCGAAGAACCUUACCAAGGCUUGACAUAUACGAGAACGGGCCAGAAAUGGUCAACUCUUUGGACACUCGUAAACAGGUGGUGCAUGGUUGUCGUCAGCUCGUGUCGUGAGAUGUUGGGUUAAGUCCCGCAACGAGCGCAACCCUCGUUCUAUGUUGCCAGCACGUAAUGGUGGGAACU
Molecule: ribosomal RNA, 1100 nt
Filed under: uncultured bacterium
Lineage: Bacteria
Description: bacterial SSU rRNA
Rfam family: Bacterial small subunit ribosomal RNA
Source: RNAcentral